Molecule: ribosomal RNA, 468 nt
Filed under: uncultured bacterium
Lineage: Bacteria
Description: partial 16S ribosomal RNA
Rfam family: Bacterial small subunit ribosomal RNA
Source: RNAcentral
GACGAACGCUGGCGGCGUGCUUAACACAUGCAAGUCGAACGGAAAGGCCCUGCUUUUGUGGGGUGCUCGGGUGGCGAACGGGUGAGUAAAACGUGAGUAACCUGCCCUUGACUUUGGGAUAACUUCAGGAAACUGGGGCUAAUACCGGAUAGGAGCUCCUGCUGCAUGGGGGGGGUUGGAAAGUUUCGGCGGUUGGGGAUGGACUCGCGGCUUAUCAGGUUGUUGGUGGGGUAGUGGCUUACGAGGGCUUUGAAGGGUGGCCGGCCUGAGAGGGUGACCGGCCACAUUGGGACUGAGAUGCGGCCCAGACUCCGACGGGAGGCAGCAGUGGGGAAUAGUGCGCAAUGGGCGGAAGCCGGAUGCAGCAACGCCGCGUGCGGGAUGACGGCCUUCGGGUUGUAAACCGCUUUCGCCUGUGACGAAGCGUGAGUGACGGUAAUGGGUAAAGAAGCACCGGCUAACUACGUG